AAGACCUCACUGUGAAGAUCAGGA
This 24-nucleotide non-coding RNA is filed under the name Cricetulus griseus (Chinese hamster). The record is from RNAcentral. Lineage: Eukaryota; Metazoa; Chordata; Mammalia; Rodentia; Cricetidae.